Molecule: long non-coding RNA, 1116 nt
Filed under: Phasianus colchicus (ring-necked pheasant)
Lineage: Eukaryota; Metazoa; Chordata; Aves; Galliformes; Phasianidae
Description: lncRNA (ENSPCLG00000014146.1)
Source: RNAcentral
ACAGUGUCAAGAUUGAGCUGCUGAACUACCGGCAGCUCUCGCGAGCCUCCGGCGUCCUGCUGCACAUGGUGCUGCGCUGCGUGCGAGAGAGCGUGCUCUUAUACUGUCACCUCCUGAGGAACAAGGAGCCCGUCUCAUUUGUGUUCAAGAACCUUGGAGUUAUGACAUGCCAAGACAACUUCCUCUGCAUGAGGUUCUUCUGCAGCUGCAUUGCAAAGCUGGAGACCAAUGCUACCAUCCUUGCACUGUUCCACACUAGAUUUUGGAUGGAAGAUUCUGCUGACUUCGGGCCAGAGACCACCACACAUGGGAUCUGGGUGUUCCCGAGGUUUCAGCUCACUGAGAAAAAGAGCAGAGCAGAGGCGGCCGCAGAACAGAAAGCUGCAGUAGAGCGGAAGAUGAGUAGAGGGGGCUCUGCUGGCAGGCUGCUGCAGACGUGGAAGACUCUUUCCCCCUCCAUGCUGCUACAGCACGAGCCAGGCUCAAGGCAGCAAAAUGUGGCGAAGGAGCCUUCUGCCAGCGCGCUCCCGCUGUGUGCAGGCAGCUUCCACAGGACAAAGAAAGCAGGACAGAAGGAAGCAUCUACUCCUGCCCAGACCAGCACUGCACUUCCUGCCUCAGAGGAGUCUAAGAGGGUGCUGCAGGAGCUCCGGGAAGUGUCUGCGUGGAAUGAAGCAGACUGCACGCGCCUUGUGUACCAGCAGCAAGUAGAGCAAGCACGGGCAGAAAUGGCAGCAUGGGAAGGCUGGAGUGCAGGGGAGGACCAGCAUCCGCCCCAGUUACUGUCAGGGAUCGACCCUGCUGUUAACCAUCCUCUGAGCCAGGGUGCAAGCUCAGCAGUGAACGGCUGCUGGCCAGGGAGAGCAUGCAUGCUCCGCAUCCUUCAGCACAGCCCCGGGGACAGCAAGUGGGGAGGAGGUGGAGAAAGAAUGUGGAUCCUCUGCCGGGAAGUAAAAUGGGAACAGCGACCAAGCUGGCACUGCAUGCUGACCUCCUUUCCCUGCAAGCGGCUCAGGUGCUCCAGAAAUUGGAGCCGCGCCUCCAUCAGCAAGAGGCUUUUGCCAGCACAGCGGAAAGAAACCGGCAGAAGCUGGAGCUGAAGCGGCAGCUCCCCUG